GGCUGGCUCGCUCAGCUGGUUAGAGCAUGGUGCUAAUAACGCCAAGGUGGUGGGUUCAAGCCCCAUGCUGGCCA
Molecule: transfer RNA, 74 nt
Filed under: Chelonia mydas (Green sea turtle)
Lineage: Eukaryota; Metazoa; Chordata; Testudines; Cheloniidae
Rfam family: tRNA
About the family: Transfer RNA (tRNA) molecules are approximately 80 nucleotides in length. Their secondary structure includes four short double-helical elements and three loops (D, anti-codon, and T loops).
Source: Rfam by way of RNAcentral